GCGGGUGUAGCUCAGUGGUAGAGCACAAGCUUCCCAAGCUUGGUGUCGAGGGUUCGAUUCCCUCUACCCGCUCCA
RNAcentral lists this transfer RNA (75 nucleotides) under Alphaproteobacteria bacterium. RNAcentral's name for it is "tRNA-Gly". It matches the Rfam family "tRNA". Rfam says of the family: Transfer RNA (tRNA) molecules are approximately 80 nucleotides in length. Their secondary structure includes four short double-helical elements and three loops (D, anti-codon, and T loops). Further hydrogen bonds mediate the characteristic L-shaped molecular structure. tRNAs have two regions of fundamental functional importance: the anti-codon, which is responsible for specific mRNA codon recognition, and the 3' end, to which the tRNAs corresponding amino acid is attached (by aminoacyl-tRNA synthetases). tRNAs cope with the degeneracy of the genetic code in two manners: having more than one tRNA (with a specific anti-codon) for a particular amino acid; and 'wobble' base-pairing, i.e. permitting non-standard base-pairing at the 3rd anti-codon position. Lineage: Bacteria; Pseudomonadati; Pseudomonadota; Alphaproteobacteria. The record is from RNAcentral.